Molecule: ribosomal RNA, 700 nt
Filed under: uncultured bacterium
Lineage: Bacteria
Description: bacterial SSU rRNA
Rfam family: Bacterial small subunit ribosomal RNA
Source: RNAcentral
AGUGGCGGACGGGUGAGUAACACGUAAGAAUUUGCCUUUAGGAGGGGGACAACAACUGGAAACGGUUGCUAAUACCCCAUAUGCUUUCGAGUGAAAUGGAUUUUUCCGCCUAAAGAGAAGCUUGCGGCUGAUUAGCUUGUUGGUGAGGUAAUGGCUCACCAAGGCGACGAUCAGUAUCUGGUUUGAGAGGAUGAUCAGACACACUGGAACUGAGACACGGUCCAGACUCCUACGGGAGGCAGCAGUGGGGAAUUUUCCGCAAUGGGCGAAAGCCUGACGGAGCAAUCUCGCGUGAGGGAUGACGGCCUAUGGGUUGUAAACCUCUUUUUUCAGGGAGGAACAAAAUGACGUGUACCUGAAGAAUAAGCAUCGGCUAACUCCGUGCCAGCAGCCGCGGUAAGACGGAGGAUGCAAGUGUUAUCCGGAAUCACUGGGCGUAAAGCGUCUGUAGGUGGUUUAAUAAGUCAACUGUUAAAUCUUGAAGCUCAACUUCAAAAUCGCAGUCGAAACUAUUAGACUAGAGUAUAGUAGGGGUAAAGGGAAUUUCCAGUGGAGCGGUGAAAUGCGUAGAUAUUGGAAAGAACACCGAUGGCGAAGGCACUUUACUGGGCUAUUACUGACACUCAGAGACGAAAGCUAGGGUUGCAAAUGGGAUUAGAUACCCCAGUAGUCCUAGCCGUAAACAAUGGAUACUAGAUAU